RNAcentral lists this ribosomal RNA (550 nucleotides) under uncultured bacterium. RNAcentral's name for it is "bacterial SSU rRNA". It matches the Rfam family "Bacterial small subunit ribosomal RNA", at positions 355 to 896 of the family's 1533-position model. The record is from RNAcentral.
UGGGGAAUCUUCCGCAAUGGACGAAAGUCUGACGGAGCAACGCCGCGUGAGUGAUGACGGCCUUCGGGUUGUAAAGCUCUGUUAAUCGGGACGAAUGGCUACCAUGCGAAUAGUUUGGGAGUUUGACGGUACCGGAAUAGAAAGCCACGGCUAACUACGUGCCAGCAGCCGCGGUAAUACGUAGGUGGCAAGCGUUGUCCGGAAUUAUUGGGCGUAAAGCGCGCGCAGGCGGAUCUGCCAGUCUGUCUUAAAAGUUCGGGGCUCAACCCCGUGAUGGGAUGGAAACUACAGAUCUAGAGUAUCGGAGGGGAAAGUGGAAUUCCUAGUGUAGCGGUGAAAUGCGUAGAUAUUAGGAGGAACACCAGUGGCGAAGGCGACUUUCUGGACGAUCACUGACGCUGAGGCGCGAAAGCCAGGGGAGCGAACGGGAUUAGAUACCCCGGUAGUCCUGGCCGUAAACGAUGGGUACUAGGUGUAGGAGGUAUCGACCCCUUCUGUGCCGUAGUUAACGCAGUAAGUACCCCGCCUGGGGAGUACGGCCGCAAGGUUG